UACAGAGGGGGCAAGCGUUGUUCGGAAUUACUGGGCGUAAAGGGCGCGUAGGCGGCCUGCUAAGUCGAACGUGAAAUCCCUGGGCUCAACCCGGGAACUGCGUCCGAUACUGGCAGGCUUGAAUUCGGGAGAGGGAUGUGGAAUUCCAGGUGUAGCGGUGAAAUGCGUAGAUAUCUGGAGGAACACCGGUGGCGAAGGCGGCAUCCUGGACCGAGAUUGACGCUGAUGCGCGAAAGCCAGGGGAGCAAACGGG
This 253-nucleotide ribosomal RNA is filed under the name uncultured bacterium. RNAcentral's name for it is "partial 16S ribosomal RNA". It matches the Rfam family "Bacterial small subunit ribosomal RNA", at positions 524 to 776 of the family's 1533-position model. The record is from RNAcentral.